GGUUGUUUAGUUUAAUUAAAAUACGGGUUUUGUAAGUCUGGGAUAAAUUUUAUAUUUAUCAACCU
RNAcentral lists this transfer RNA (65 nucleotides) under Pachybothrium hutsoni. RNAcentral describes it as "tRNA-Thr". The record is from RNAcentral. Lineage: Eukaryota; Metazoa; Platyhelminthes; Cestoda; Tetraphyllidea; Onchobothriidae.